GACGAACGCUGGCGGCGUGCCUAACACAUGCAAGUCUACUCAGCAAUGGGUGGCGAACGGGUGAGUAACGCGUAGAUAAUCUGCCCUUUAAUCACGGAUAACCUAGUGAAACUGGACUAAUACGGGAUGUGAUCGCGAAAUGGCAUCAUUAGCGAUUAAAGACUACGGGUCGUUAAAGGAGGAGUCUGCGUAUCAUUAGCUAGUUGGCGGGUAACGGCCCACCAAGGCGACGAUGAUUAGCUGGUCUGAGAGGAUGAUCAGCCACACUGGGACUGAGAUACGGCCCAGACUCCUACGGGAGGCUG
Molecule: ribosomal RNA, 305 nt
Filed under: uncultured Fibrobacterota bacterium
Lineage: Bacteria; Pseudomonadati; Fibrobacterota
Description: bacterial SSU rRNA
Rfam family: Bacterial small subunit ribosomal RNA
Source: RNAcentral